RNAcentral lists this ribosomal RNA (985 nucleotides) under Micrococcus sp. Its description in RNAcentral is "bacterial SSU rRNA". It matches the Rfam family "Bacterial small subunit ribosomal RNA", at positions 9 to 1028 of the family's 1533-position model. The record is from RNAcentral. Lineage: Bacteria; Bacillati; Actinomycetota; Actinomycetes; Micrococcales; Micrococcaceae.
GGGGGGGCACCCCCAAAAUGACGCUCGAUGUUGAUCUGAAGUCGACGGUGAAGCCCGUAAGCUGGGUGGAUUAGUGGCGAACGGGUGAGUAACACGUGAGUAACCUGCCCUUAACUCUGGGAUAAGCCUGGGAAACUGGGUCUAAUACCGGAUAGGAGCGUCUACCGCAUGGUGGGUGUUGGAAAGAUUUAUCGGUUUUGGAUGGACUCGCGGCCUAUCAGCUUGUUGGUGAGGUAAUGGCUCACCAAGGCGACGACGGGUAGCCGGCCUGAGAGGGUGACCGGCCACACUGGGACUGAGACACGGCCCAGACUCCUACGGGAGGCAGCAGUGGGGAAUAUUGCACAAUGGGCGAAAGCCUGAUGCAGCGACGCCGCGUGAGGGAUGACGGCCUUCGGGUUGUAAACCUCUUUCAGUAGGGAAGAAGCGAAAGUGACGGUACCUGCAGAAGAAGCACCGGCUAACUACGUGCCAGCAGCCGCGGUAAUACGUAGGGUGCGAGCGUUAUCCGGAAUUAUUGGGCGUAAAGAGCUCGUAGGCGGUUUGUCGCGUCUGUCGUGAAAGUCCGGGGCUUAACCCCGGAUCUGCGGUGGGUACGGGCAGACUAGAGUGCAGUAGGGGAGACUGGAAUUCCUGGUGUAGCGGUGGAAUGCGCAGAUAUCAGGAGGAACACCGAUGGCGAAGGCAGGUCUCUGGGCUGUUACUGACGCUGAGGAGCGAAAGCAUGGGGAGCGAACAGGAUUAGAUACCCUGGUAGUCCAUGCCGUAAACGUUGGGCACUAGGUGUGGGGACCAUUCCACGGUUUCCGCGCCCGCACUAACGCAUUAUGUGCCCCGCCUGGGGAGUACGGGCGCAAGGCUUAAACUUCAAGGAAUUGACGGGGGCCCUGCCAAUCGGCGGAGCAUGCCGAUUAUUCGAUCAAUCCCUAGAACUUACUAAGCUUGAAUGUUCUCAUCGCCUUCAAUUCGGUUUCCUUUGGGCGGU